RNAcentral lists this ribosomal RNA (253 nucleotides) under uncultured bacterium. Its description in RNAcentral is "partial 16S ribosomal RNA". It matches the Rfam family "Bacterial small subunit ribosomal RNA", at positions 524 to 776 of the family's 1533-position model. The record is from RNAcentral.
UACAGAGGUGGCAAGCGUUGUUCGGAAUUACUGGGCGUAAAGGGCGCGUAGGCGGUCCGAUAAGUCCUGUGUGAAAUCCCUCGGCUCAACUGAGGAACUGCACGGGAGACUGUCGGGCUUGAGUUCGGGAGAGGGAAGCGGAAUUCCGGGUGUAGCGGUGAAGUGCGUAGAUAUCCGGAGGAACACCGGUGGCGAAGGCGGCUUCCUGGACCGACACUGACGCUGAGGCGCGAAAGCUAGGGGAGCAAACGGG